RNAcentral lists this ribosomal RNA (496 nucleotides) under uncultured bacterium. Its description in RNAcentral is "partial 16S ribosomal RNA". It matches the Rfam family "Bacterial small subunit ribosomal RNA", at positions 28 to 506 of the family's 1533-position model. The record is from RNAcentral.
GAUGAACGCUGGCGGCGUGCCUAAUACAUGCAAGUCGAGCGAACAGACGAGGAGCUUGCUCCUCUGACGUUAGCGGCGGACGGGUGAGUAACACGUGGAUAACCUACCUAUAAGACUGGGAUAACUUCGGGAAACCGGAGCUAAUACCGGAUAAUAUAUUGAACCGCAUGGUUCAAUAGUGAAAGACGGUUUUGCUGUCACUUAUAGAUGGAUCCGGGCCGCAUGAGUUAGUUGGUAAGGUAACGGCUUACCAAGGCAACGAUGCGUAGCCGACCUGAGAGGGUGAUCGGCCACCCUGGAACUGAGACACCGUCCGGACACCUACGGGGGGCCGCAGUAGGAAAUCUGCCGCAAGGGGCGAAAGCCUGACGGAGCAACGCCGCGUGAGUGAUGAAGGUCUUCGGGUCGUAAAACUCUGUUGUUAGGGAAGAACAAAUGUGUAAGUAACUAUGCACGUCUUGACGGAACCUAAUCAGAAAGCCACGGCUAACUACGU